GAGUGUUACAUUUCAGAACUGUGCGAGUGUGAUAAAGUGCCACGAUGUUUGCCUUUUGCUUUAUUGGUGUUUGUGCUUUAAACGGUAGUUUAAUUAAACAUCCAGGUUUGUUUGUGUUUCUUAUCAUGGCUAGGUUUGUAGAACUGAAAACAGGAUCGGGGAAGCAGGAGGAGAGAAUGAGAAGGACGCGCAGAACUGUGUAAAGGAGUGAUUAGGCAAAACCGGUUUAUCAGGCCUUUCGCUGUGUUGUGAGAUAUCGAGAUUGCCUAUAGUCCACAUAUCGCCAUGGGAACCAGCAGGUUGAAGGCUCAUGGUGGAGGCAAUGGAGGGAGCAGCCAUGGUGGAGGCUUGCAUGAGAGGCAAGGCAGAACCAGGGGGAUGACUGACAGAGGUGGAGCCAGUUUAUGUGGAGACCCAGACGAAGCGGAAGAGACCGGUCGACACCGAAGAAACUGAGACCAAGGUGGAUCCCCAGUGACGAGUGGCUGAGGUGGAGCCUCGGAAGAACUGUAUAGCACAGAGAGAGAGUUA
Molecule: non-coding RNA, 531 nt
Organism: Pimephales promelas (fathead minnow)
Lineage: Eukaryota; Metazoa; Chordata; Actinopteri; Cypriniformes; Leuciscidae
Source: RefSeq, a predicted model, not a curated record